UUAGAGUUUGAUCCUGGCUCAGGACGAACGCUGGCGGCGUGCCUAACACAUGCAAGUCAAGGGGCAGCAAUGGAGCAAUCUGUUGCUGCCACUGGCGCACGGGUGAGUAACGCGUAGGUAACCUGCCCUCAGCCCUGCAAUAACCCCGGGAAACUGGGGCUAAUGGCAGAUGAGGUCGGUGGGGGAAGUUCCCACCGAUCAAAGGGGCAACCCGGCUGAGGAUGGGCCUGCGUCCUAUCAGGUAGUUGGUGGGGUAACGGCCCACCAAGCCGACGACGGGUAGCUGGCCUGAGAGGGUGGUCAGCCACACCGGCACUGAGACACGGGCCGGACUCCUACGGGAGGCAGCAGUGGGGAAUCUUGCACAAUGGGCGAAGAGCCUGAUGCAGCGACGCCGCGUGCGGGAAGAAGGGGCGUAUGCCUUGUAAACCGCUGUCGGGGGGAGG
Molecule: ribosomal RNA, 446 nt
Filed under: uncultured Chlorobium sp.
Lineage: Bacteria; Pseudomonadati; Chlorobiota; Chlorobiia; Chlorobiales; Chlorobiaceae
Description: bacterial SSU rRNA
Rfam family: Bacterial small subunit ribosomal RNA
Source: RNAcentral